Molecule: ribosomal RNA, 253 nt
Filed under: uncultured bacterium
Lineage: Bacteria
Description: partial 16S ribosomal RNA
Rfam family: Bacterial small subunit ribosomal RNA
Source: RNAcentral
UACAGAGGUCUCAAGCGUUGUCCGGAUUUACUGGGCGUAAAGGGUGCGUAGGCGGCGCGGUAAGUCGGGUGUGAAAUCUCGGAGCUUAACUCCGAAACUGCAUUCGAUACUGCCGUGCUUGAGGACUGGAGAGGAGACUGGAAUUUACGGUGUAGCGGUGAAAUGCGUAGAUAUCGUAAGGAAGACCAGUGGCGAAGGCGGGUCUCUGGACAGUUCCUGACGCUGAGGCACGAAGGUCAGGGGAGCAAACGGG